UGCGUAGGCGGAAUAUUAAGUCAGUGGUGAAAUCCUGCGGCUCGACCGUAGAACUGCCAUUGAUACUGAUAUUCUUGAAUGUAGUUGAGGUAGGCGGAAUGUGUAAUGUAGCGGUGAAAUGCUUAGAUAUUACACAGAACACCGAUUGCGAAGGCAGCUUACUAAACUAUGAUUGACGCUGAGGCACGAAAGCGUGGGGAGCGAACAGGAUUAGAUACCCUGGUAGUCC
RNAcentral lists this ribosomal RNA (229 nucleotides) under uncultured bacterium. Its description in RNAcentral is "partial 16S ribosomal RNA". It matches the Rfam family "Bacterial small subunit ribosomal RNA", at positions 568 to 796 of the family's 1533-position model. The record is from RNAcentral.